RNAcentral lists this ribosomal RNA (520 nucleotides) under uncultured Archaeospora. Its description in RNAcentral is "SSU rRNA". It matches the Rfam family "Eukaryotic small subunit ribosomal RNA", at positions 569 to 1093 of the family's 1831-position model. The record is from RNAcentral. Lineage: Eukaryota; Fungi; Glomeromycota; Glomeromycetes; Archaeosporales; Archaeosporaceae.
CGCAGCCGCGGUAAUUCCAGCUCCAAUAGCGUAUAUUAAAGUUGUUGCAGUUAAAAAGCUCGUAGUUGAAUUUUAGGCCUGGCCGGGCGGUCCGUCUUUGGCGAGUACUGUCCUGUGUCGGGUCCACCUUCUGGUGAACCAGUAUGUCCUUUAUUGGGUGUGCCGGGGAGCCAGGACCAUUACCUUGAAAAAAUUAGAGUGUUUAAAGCAGGCAUUUGCUUGAAUAGAUUAGCAUGGAAUAAUAGAAUAGGACGUUGUGGUUCUAUUUUGUUGGUUUCUAGGACCACCGUAAUGAUUAAUAGGGACAGUUGGGGGCAUUAGUAUUCAAUUGUCAGAGGUGAAAUUCUUGGAUUUAUUGAAGACUAACUAUUGCGAAAGCAUUUGCCAAGGAUGUUUUCAUUAAUCAAGAACGAAAGUUAGGGGACCGAAGACGAUCAGAUACCGUCGUAGUCUUAAACCAUAAACUAUGCCGACUAGGAAUCGGGCGACGUUAUUUCAUGACUCGCUCGGCGCCUUAUGG